CGAGAUACAUAAUUACUUGUGUAGGUACUGUAUAUUUAUUUCAACAUAAAAAUGUAUGUAAAAUAUCUACAUGCCUACACAUUACAUUACAACACAAUACAAAAUAAACAUAGAAUUUUGUCCCGGAUUGUAAAAACCUAAUUUAAAGAUUGUAGACCUCUUACUCCCUCACUCUGCACCACGGUUGGUGCUAGACUAUAGACUGAGUCAUCUGGCAAGCAAGCUAUCUAAUUGGCCAGGUGAAUGGCCACUAAAUAAAUAAAAUGUGUCAACUUAAUGUCUUAAUCACAUACAUACUCAUGUGUAGGAAAGCACAUUGCUAUCGCCAGAUGAGUGACAACUUUUUUGGCUCAUUUUCUUUAACCAGCGCAGCAUGAAGGCAUGUUGAGUGGAAUUAGCAAGCAAGCCACAGCUGGCUAUUGUCCCUCUGCUCACUGGUGUUGCAGUUGAUAUAAUCUCCCUCUGAAAACUCAGCUUUAGAACGUAAAAUCAAUGAAAGUAAGUGUUUUGUAUAAUUCUCUCAUCCACAACAUCGCCAUGCUCUUUCCGGUCGCCUAAGACACAGGUCUGCAGCCGGCGCAAAUCUCUUUUGUAAGAAAAGUUGGCAAGCUGACAGCAAAUCUAACAUUACUCUUAUUGUUUUGAAACUUUGUUUAAAAAUAGUCAUUUAACUAGCCAGCCUACUUCCCUUCUUACUGCUACCAUUGAGUGUUUGUUGGUCGUAUGUGCAUUAGAAUGUUAUUGCUGUGAAACAAUCAUAAAAUAAGCUUUAAUUUUUCUCGGUCUGCUCGCCCAACUCAUAUCACAUAACAUCACAUCACAUCAAACUGCAGGCCUACUGUACAAUAAGGAAUUCAAAUACUAAACACCAGUCCUGGUGGUGUUCAGCUGAACUGUAUGUGACUUUGGCUUUUUACUGAAUAUGUGCCCAGUUCAAGCACAUGAGGUGGACCUAAUUGGUAUGGGUCAGUCGUAUCUGAAUAUUUAUGACCAUGGAUAAACCUGUUGUUGACUGGCUUGAUUUGAAUUGACUAAAGAAGGGUUAGACAUGGGUCAAAUAACCCUGGUAUGACCCUGGUCCUUCGUGUGAAAGAGGUAUAAGGUGCAGAGUUAUGUUAUUCUGGAGCAUGAAAUGUCAUCUCUUGCUCAGGAGAUAACAAGACCCUCCAUUUUUUUUCCCACAUUGAGUCCCAUUUUGAAAUCAGAAUUAUCCUCAUUACUGUAUGGUCUGGUUAACUUCUGUGAUGGUAAUAAGAGCUACAGGAAAAAAUGUUCAAUGUCUGUUUUAUGUUUUGCUUUUCUUUGUGUAACUAUGACUGAAAUGUAAAGAAGAAGUAUUGCACAACUCAUCAAUAGGGAAAGAUUUUGUGAAUUAAAACUGAAAGCUUUGAAGAGAAACUGCACUAAACUAGAUUAUACAUAUCCCAAAUAAAUAAUGAAGUGAUGGAUUUCUUUAAACACUGUCAAGAGGACAGGGUGAGAAAAAGACAUUAUGAAGACUUAUGAAGCAAAUACCUUUCAAUGCCAACACAAGUCUUAAUGUUUGAGACAAAUGUGAGUCCAGGCUUGCCCUCCUCCCUGUCCAGUCAUUUUACGUUUGAGAACCGUUUCGCAGUUUUGAAGAGCACAGCAGGUUCCUCACAUUUGGUCAUAAUUUGAUAGGAGAUAAUGUUUGAAGUAACGAUACAAACAUGGCUCUAUAAUAAUGUUUGAGGAUGAAAAUUGAAGUUUAAGUUUGUCUUCCAGUUUGCCAAUCGAGUUGGAUUUUUUUUUCUUUCCUGUGUGUUCCUCUGUAAACUUCUCACCCCUUGUCUCUUUUUUUCAGAUGUUUGUAAGAUAUGAUACGGGAUUGUACUUGGGACGCUAUUGAAUAAAACCUUUUACUAAAAUGUA
Long non-coding RNA from Etheostoma cragini (Arkansas darter), 1893 nucleotides. RefSeq lists it as uncharacterized. The record is from RefSeq and is a predicted model, not a curated record. The transcript is spliced from 2 exons. NCBI's taxonomy places the organism in Eukaryota, Metazoa, Chordata, Actinopteri, Perciformes, Percidae.